AGGAUGAACGCUGGCGGCGUGCUUAACACAUGCAAGUCGAACGGUGAAAGGGGAGCUUGCUCCUCUCGAUCAGUGGCGAACGGGUGAGUAACACGUGAGUAACCUGCCCUUGACUCUGGGAUAAGCACUGGAAACGGUGUCUAAUACCGGAUACGACCUCCGAAGGCAUCUUCUGGAAGUGGAAAGAAUUUCGGUCAAGGAUGGACUCGCGGCCUAUCAGCUAGUUGGUGAGGUAACGGCCCACCAAGGCGACGACGGGUAGCCGGCCUGAGAGGGUGACCGGCCACACUGGGACUGAGACACGGCCCAGACUCCUACGGGAGGCAGCAGUGGGGAAUAUUGCACAAUGGGCGCAAGCCUGAUGCAGCAACGCCGCGUGAGGGACGACGGCCUUCGGGUUGUAAACCUCUUUUAGUAGGGAAGAAGCGAAAGUGACGGUACCUGCAGAAAAGCACCGGCUAACUACGUGCCAGCAGCCGC
RNAcentral lists this ribosomal RNA (480 nucleotides) under uncultured bacterium. RNAcentral describes it as "SSU rRNA". It matches the Rfam family "Bacterial small subunit ribosomal RNA", at positions 26 to 518 of the family's 1533-position model. The record is from RNAcentral.